AUACGGAGGGUGCGAGCGUUAAUCGGAAUUACUGGGCGUAAAGCGUGCGUAGGCGGUUUGCUAAGUCAGAUGUGAAAGCCCCGGGCUUAACCUGGGAACUGCAUUUGAUACUGGCAGACUAGAGUAUGAUAGAGGGGGGUAGAAUUCCUGGUGUAGCGGUGAAAUGCGUAGAUAUCAGGAGGAAUACCAGUGGCGAAGGCGGCCACCUGGAUCAAUACUGACGCUGAGGUACGAAAGCGUGGGGAGCGAACAGGAUUAGAAACCCUAGUAGUCC
RNAcentral lists this ribosomal RNA (274 nucleotides) under uncultured bacterium. RNAcentral describes it as "partial 16S ribosomal RNA". It matches the Rfam family "Bacterial small subunit ribosomal RNA", at positions 523 to 796 of the family's 1533-position model. The record is from RNAcentral.